This 484-nucleotide ribosomal RNA is filed under the name uncultured bacterium. RNAcentral describes it as "partial 16S ribosomal RNA". It matches the Rfam family "Bacterial small subunit ribosomal RNA", at positions 30 to 507 of the family's 1533-position model. The record is from RNAcentral.
AUUGAACGCUGGCGGCAGGCCUAACACAUGCAAGUCGAGCGGAUGAAGGGAGCUUGCUCCUGGAUUCAGCGGCGGACGGGUGAGUAAUGCCUAGGAAUCUGCCUGGUAGUGGGGGAUAACGUCCGGAAACGGGCGCUAAUUCCGCAUACGUCCUUAGGGAGAAAGUGGGGGAUCUUCGGACAUCACGCUAUCAGCUGAGCCUAGGACGGAUUAGCUAGUUGGUGGUGUAAAGGCCUACCAAGGCGACGAUCCGUAACUGGUCUGAGAGGAUGAACAGUCACACUGGAACUGAGACACGGUCCAGACUCCUACGGGAGGCAGCAGUGGGGAAUAUUGGACAAUGGGCGAAAGCCUGAUCCAGCCAUGCCGCGUGUGUGAAGAAGGUCUUCGGAUUGUAAAACACUUUAAGUUGGGAGGAAGGGCAGUAAGUUAAUACCUUGCUGUUUUGACGUUACCAACAGAAUAAGCACCGGCUAACUUCGUG